RNAcentral lists this ribosomal RNA (266 nucleotides) under uncultured Melanophyllum. Its description in RNAcentral is "partial large subunit ribosomal RNA". It matches the Rfam family "Eukaryotic large subunit ribosomal RNA", at positions 419 to 675 of the family's 3401-position model. The record is from RNAcentral. Lineage: Eukaryota; Fungi; Basidiomycota; Agaricomycetes; Agaricales; Agaricaceae.
ACGCUUGAAGUCAGUCGCGUUGACUGGUGAUCAGCCUUGCUUUUGCAUGGUGUAUUCACUAGCUGACGGGUCAGUAUCAAUUUUGAUUGCUGGAAAAAGGCUUGGGAAAUGUGGCAGCUUCGGCUGUGUUAUAGUCUCUUGUCACAUACAGCAGUUGGGAUUGAGGAAUUCAGCACGCCGCAAGGCCGGGUUUCGACCACGUCCGUGCUUAGGAUACUGGCAUAAUGGCUUUAAGCGACCCGUCUUGAAACACGGACCAAGGAGUC